ACCUAGCCCACUUCCCAUUCAUCUUAAACCUUACACCCUAACCCUAAGACUCUUCUUCCUUGGACAAUAACAUACAAAAAGAACCAGAACCCCUAAACCCUUCAACCUUUCAGCCCCAACCCGAUUCCAACGACCACUCAGCCGUCGUCCAAUAAAAACCAGCGGCGGUGACCCUCAACAACACAAGACGCAACCGAUCUCCGAUAAAAGACCCCUGAAUUUUUGACCUCACACCAUCCCUCUUUCACCAAGCUCACACGAACACAACCUGCCGCUGAACGACCAAACGAUCCCACCCCGACCUCACUUCCAAUACCAGCCAGACCACCACCAAACACAGCCAGCAGUUCCACCCCGCCAGCGCCCCACUCGCUGAAAAACUCAUACAACCCUCCAACACAACCCACCUGACCACCACACCGUAUUUAAAUACAGUCAGCAAACAAAAGGGAAGAAGAUCGAAGAUGUAUACUACUGUCUCUCCAUUCCAUUUUCUAUUUAUGAAAGAUUAAGAAAAUAGAACAAAAAUUACAAAUGAAAUUUUUGUCGCUUCCUUUUCUCAGUUUCAGUGUUCGUUCUCAAAUUAUGGAUUUCACUUGAGUUCAAUUGGUCCGUUGUCGUUCGAGGUCAUGUUCGUGGUUCCGAAUUCAGUUUUUUUUUUUUUUGCUAUCUUGAUCGUUCACUGUUGGGCGUUAAAAGUUAGAACUACGAUGCCGAAUUUGCUUGUAAUUGCCUCCGAAUGACAGUAAUGAAAAGCUUUUAUUUCAGUGUUUGACCUUUAUGGCUAUAUGAAUUUCACAAAUUGUAUCGGAACGGAGUAGUUGAGGCGUUUGGGUUCGGCGCGAAAUCUUCAGGUGUCUGCUUUCGAGGUUGCUGUUUGAUUUUUCGGUCUAGCGUUGGUCGCUUGUUUAGUCUUGCGCUACCAAGCAAUUGAGUUUAAAGGUCCAAUCCCUUUUCCCUUCCCUUUAAUCCCUUAUGUGAUUUUUGGUUAUAUGUUUCUGAUGGUGUUAUCCUUUUGAAGUAGCAUGAAGUUCUGUGUAUGUGCCAUUAUCUAGAUUUGGGGCUCAACUUAAUUAACGUGAUUUAACUUCUAUGGCUUCAUUAAUCAGUUAAAUGAAAGUUUGAACUAAUGAGUUAAGUUGGAUAAAAGGAGAUGUGGGAUUUGAAAUUGAAAGAAAAUAGAGUUGGGAUAAUGUGUUGUGAUAAUAUUCAUGUUUCGAUAUUGCUAGUUUUAUUGAUCGCUAGACAUGCUUAGGCCAAUUACACUUGGGUAGGCAAGCUUUAGGAUUUUUGUUAAUUUUGAGGCGAGAUGUCGCUCUCGUAGUUAAAUUUAUUUGGGGAAUGCCCCGAAGAAUUUGUAUAUAUUAUUAUCCGGGAUAAUGCACCGAAGAACCAUGUAAAUAUUUUCGAGGCCUUGACAAGCAUGGGGGAGAAGUCGUAGUAUAGGUUAGCUUAGGGUUUUUCUUUUCUUUUCCUUUUCCUUUUCUUUUACUGGGUGGGGACGACCUCGAGCUUCGUAUGUGUUUAUUCUGCUUUUCGUGCUUAUUUUUACCUCAAUCUGAAUUCUAAAAGUCAACUAGAUCGACUAUGCAACCGUGACUUUCAUGGGACUCGGGGAAUGCCUAACACCUUUCCCCCGAAUCAAAUGAACCCUCUUACCCUAAUGUCUGGUGCAACCUUGAUUUUAGAGUCCAAAGUAUUUUAAAAGGAAAAAUUAUUUGUUAAAGAAAAACGGUGACCUGAUACACUAAAAUCGAAUGUCAAUUGACGACUCUGAGUUAAUCCUUUUGAACACAAUUUUUGUCACGUUCGAAUAAGAAGAUACUUUUCAAGCUUUACAUAAUCUUUUUAUUAUUUUAAGAGGGUUUAGUAAGGUUUUGUUAAAAAAAAGAGGGUGUGACAGACGUGAAUCGGAUCGUUUUUAAGAAAAUUGGAAAUUUGAAGUUCUUAAGAAAAUUUCAUGAUUUUGAUGCUAAAUUCAUAGUUGAUGGUGUUAUUUUGAUGAUGUGAUCGCACGAGUAGGUCCAUGUGAUGUUUUUGAGUUAGUAUGCACGUUUGGUUUGGAGUCCUGAUGGCUCAGGUUGUUUCGGGUAUGAUUCGAGGUGUCUUAGACUUAAAUCAUGGAUAUUGGAGGUUCAUCGAAGUGCAAAUAACUGAACCUGCCACUGCGGUCCGCACUACAUUUUGUGUUGUCCGCACUGGAGGUUGUGCGGCCGCACUCGAUUUUGUGCGGCCCGCCCAGGUUCUCUGCUCCAACUUCGGAAGCCUACAUCUUUUGAUCCAAAAGGAAUUUUGAGAUGCUUCAAAACCAAAAAAUGUAGCCCUUCGUGUAUAGUUGCCAGAAAGCUAUAGAAAUCGCAAUUUGGACAUCUGUAGAUAAAGUCAUGACAAAAAUACUAAAACAUGUCACUGCAGUCAAACACUUUUAGCUGUGCGGCUCAAUCGAUUUUGUGCGGUAUGCACAGGGCAUCUGAGAGUGGUAUAGUUAAACGGCAUUUUCAGUUAUUUUUUAUUUUUCAAAACCCCAAAAACAUAAGAGGAGAUUUUUCAAACAACUAUUUUUCUCCAAAACAUUGGUAAGUGAUUUCUAACUCAUUUUCUUUACUCCUUAACUUCUUCUUACAAUAUUUCAUCCUAGAAUCUUGAGUUUUCAUGGUGGAAUUGGGAAUUUUAGGUAAAACUUAAGAAUAUUGAAAUUUGGGGAUUUAGACCUCAAAUUGAGGUCGGAUUUCAAAACCAAUUACAUAACUGGUCUCGGGGUGAAUGGGUAAUCGAAUUUUGGUCCGAAUUUCGGAUUUGGAUCAAGCGUGCCCGUGAUCGAUUUUUGACUUUUUGGGAAAGACUUCAGAAAACUUAUUUCCAUGCAUUAGAAUUGAUCCAUUUAGCAUUUAUUGAUGUUAUUAAGUAGCUUGUGGCUAGAAACGAGCGAGUUGGUGGUAGAAUCAAGAAGUAAAGCGAUAAUUGAGACGUGAAUUGUGUUCGUGGUAUCGAGGUAAGUGUUUGGUCCAAUCUUAGCUUGAGGGAUUAGGAGUUAUUUUCUAUUUGUUACUUGCUUCUUGUUGAGUACGACGUAUAAACGAGUAUCUAUACGUUAGUGUCGAGCAUGACCGUGAGUCUUAAAUUAAUAUUUUAUUGUGUUCUAAAAUAUUACUACGGAUGAUUACGUUGAUGAUUCUCUUUAUUGAUCAAGUUAUGAUUAUUCUCAUGGAAGUUACUUAUGAGUGAGUUUGGUGUUAGUUGAGGGUAGUCAGAUAUUGGAACAACUUUGGUUAUAGCAGUUUCUCCCUUGCCGGGACGUAGUUACUUAUACUGUCGAUUGCCUUGCCGGGAUAGUGUAGCUCUUUAUUGAUCCCUUGCAGGGACUCUUGUUAUGAUUAUUACUGAUUGUAUAUAUGGAUCAGGUUUCACGCCGCAACAAUGAUAUAUGUGGAUGAUAUAAUAAUAAUAUGAUUGGAUUGGGUUGCGUGCUGCAAUAAUGAUAUAUAUAUUUGGAUCUGGUUGCAAGCCGCAACAAUAUUAUAUGUGGAUCGGGUUGCACGAUACAACAAUAAUAUGAUUGGAUCGGGUUGCACGCUGCAACAAUAAUAUGAUCGGAUCGGUUGCACGCUGCAACCGUGGUUAAUGAUAUGGAACAGGUUGCACGCUGCAACAAUUGUCAAUACAAAGUAUUUAUAGAUUGGAUACAAGUUUCUUAUUGUUUUGUUGUGAAGUCUAGGUGGUCUUUAUGCCUUUACUCUUGAUUUACUAUUGAUAUUUAUAUAUCCCGGCAGCAUGUACCCCCUCAAUCUUUAAAUGCACAGGUUUAUUUGGUAGUUUGGUCCUAGCCUCGUCACUACUAUGCCGAGGUUAGGCUAGGCACUUACCAGCAUAUGG
Molecule: long non-coding RNA, 3873 nt
Filed under: Nicotiana benthamiana
Lineage: Eukaryota; Viridiplantae; Streptophyta; Magnoliopsida; Solanales; Solanaceae
Description: long non-coding RNA (NBEN_LNC037749)
Source: RNAcentral